RNAcentral lists this ribosomal RNA (492 nucleotides) under uncultured bacterium. RNAcentral describes it as "partial 16S ribosomal RNA". It matches the Rfam family "Bacterial small subunit ribosomal RNA", at positions 29 to 507 of the family's 1533-position model. The record is from RNAcentral.
AGUGAACGCUGGCGGUAGGCCUAACACAUGCAAGUCGAACGGCAGCACAGUAAGAGCUUGCUCUUACGGGUGGCGAGUGGCGGACGGGUGAGGAAUACAUCGGAAUCUACUUUUUCGUGGGGGAUAACGUAGGGAAAUUUACGCUAAUACCGCAUACGACCUACGGGUGAAAGCAGGGGAUCUUCGGACCUUGCGCGAUUGAAUGAGCCGAUGUCGGAUUAGCUAGUUGGCGGGGUAAAGGCCCACCAAGGCGACGAUCCGUAGCUGGUCUGAGAGGAUGGUCAGCCACACUGGAACUGAGACACGGUCCAGACUCCUACGGGAGGCAGCAGUGGGGAAUAUUGGACAAUGGGCGCAAGCCUGAUCCAGCCAUACCGCGUGGGUGAAGAAGGCCUUCGGGUUGUAAAGCCCUUUUGUUGGGAAAGAAAAGCAGCAGGUUAAUACCCCGCUGUUCUGACGGUAACCAAAGAAUAAGCAACGGCUAACUUCGUG